RNAcentral lists this ribosomal RNA (99 nucleotides) under Fructilactobacillus sanfranciscensis. RNAcentral describes it as "Lactobacillus sanfranciscensis partial 16S ribosomal RNA". It matches the Rfam family "Bacterial small subunit ribosomal RNA", at positions 1 to 92 of the family's 1533-position model. The record is from RNAcentral. Lineage: Bacteria; Bacillati; Bacillota; Bacilli; Lactobacillales; Lactobacillaceae.
UUUUUAAAAUGAGAGUUUGAUCCUGGCUCAGGACGAACGUUGGCGGCGUGCCUAAUACAUGCAAGUCGAACGAAGUCGCCCAAUUGAUUCUUGGUGCUU